ACCCGCAGAACCGGGGCUGGAACCCGUGGAGCCGGGGCUCGAACCCGCGGCCCCGCAGCUCCGGCGGCCGGCAGAGGGCGCCGGGCCCUCAGGCACGGGGGCAGCGCGGCGGGGCUGCCCCGCGGCCCGGAGCGCAGCGACACCUCCUCCUUCCCUCCCUGCGCCCCUUUUUUCCGCCGCAGAAAAAGGGGAGCUUGCUGGAGACUUCAGACCAGCAUUCCGUGUGAAAGAAUACAGAAAAUGCAGUGGAUUAGAAGAGGCUUGUGUAUAAAAGUUACUAACCCUACAAUGGAUCAUGUUCAUAAAGGAUUUUAGGGAUCAACAUAUUCCUCGCUCGAGAAUCUUUCCAUUCUCGCUGAUAAGUGUGCUGGAUGAAGGACAUCAUUAAUUUAAAUGAAUGUCUUGUGCUUAUGUCUGAGGCUUAUCCUCGUUCACUGGCAAGGAAAAGAAAUGCUUUUUCUUCUCUUUAUUGUAACUCUGUGUGGUGUGGUCCACCAACGUACAAUGAGAGAUUUUUUUUUUUUUCCAUACACAUGUACCCCCAAAAUGUCGCCCUAAAUGAUCAAGAGGAGAAAAAAUAAAAAGGACAUUCCACACACAUAAAAUAUGUAAUUAAAAUGAUGAAUUAUUGUAAGAUAGAAUAUUAGCCUUUUGACAUUUUAAUCUGAGCAGGAGAGAGUGAGAGAGUGCAUUUGGAGCCGCUCAAUUAAAUUUAGAAUUUUUUCCCCUCCAUUGUUAUGAAUAAAUAGAAAGAUUCUGUAGCAGUCUGCGGAAUUAUUAAUUGCAAGUACUGUAGAAGGUGCAUGCACCGUAUCAUGAAAUGGAGUAUCAUUGUUAGUGACUAUAUUUCUUGGUAAUUAAGGCCCAGACUAAUGAUGCAAGUUUUCUUCAGCAUGAUUUUCAUCUGAUUAUGAGGCUGCUUCAUUAAGAGCACUCAGACUAACGAGCUGUAGCUGUAAUAAAGUAAUUUUCUGUCUUGUGCUCUGAUUGAUAAAGAGUUUCUAUAGCUAAAAGGAAUUGAAAAUAUAAUUAUAAUUAGAAAUGGUUGAAUAAAGUUAUUACAGGAUUGCUGAAGGGUAGUGCAAUUGACACCAUAAUGUUUUUUGGAAGUGUGCAUCUUAAAAUUAGACUUUAUAAAAGGAAGGGGGAAAAAAAAACAACCCACAACCCCAAACCCUCUGUGCUAAUAAAUGGGCAGAAUGUUGCUGCCUCCAUAAAAUGGACUGUUAGAUUAAAGUAAAAUGAGGUUUUCCCACAUUGUUCAGAACAAGAAAAACAUAUGCAGGAAGAAUGCUGUUGCCUUUCUUCCUAGCAUUCCUCUUAAGUGAAGUAAAGCUUAUGAAAGUGCUUUUUACUCCAUUUAUAAAAAUUUUCGUGCUGCCAUAUGUUGCAAAAAAGAUCUUUUUGAUUAAGCUGAUGUGUUUUGAAGCAUACAGUAUAAUUUCGGUGUUUCUCUUUAAAAAAUGUGCAAAGAGUUAUGUGAGUCUUUUCUGUGUAUUAGCAUACAGUAACUAGUGGGGUUUUAAUACAUGUUUUUGAACAGAGAGGUUUUCCUUUCUUUCUGUCGCUUUUAAAAUCUCCUUGCACUGGCCAAUAUCAAAAUAUAACUGGGUCAAAUACGAGGCCUUUCUUUUUUUUUCUCUGGGGGAAGCAAAUCAACUUUUUAUCUCAGAAACCUUAUUCUUUUUUAUGAUGUUCAUAUUAUAAACAGCACAAACUCUGUUAGAGCAAUCCUUUGUGCGUAUGUCAUAGGAUAUAUAUGCUGUAUUGAUAGAAAAAAACUAUAAUAAGGGUUUUAUUUAGAAUUAGCUGGUGCACUUCCGUACUCAGAAGUUGUUUGACUUAUUUAAUUUGGAGGCUUUCUGUAUUCUAUAUCUCCCUCUUUGGAAGUCAUGCAUAUAUUUUAAGGCUACAGUUAUGCACAUUUGGUUAUGUAAAUCUGUCCUAUGCAGACUCCAAGGAACUUUAUUGUAUUGGAUUGAAACAAACAGUAGAUCAUCUAGAGGUAUAUUUAUGCUAAUUAACUUAAAGCCAGCAUUUUGCAUUGAUUGCUCAGUCAUAAUGCUUUUUGGAAGAUUUUUAGAAUUUUUGAAAAUCAUUCUUAACACAUUAUAUGGUGAUAAAAGUGUGUUAUUGGAAUACCAUUAGCAGGAAUAAAAAAAGAGCAGAAUUUUAUUGGUUGUUCAUUGAAAAUGUUAGCUGUGAUUAGUUACAUAAUCCUACAUUAACCUGUAAAUUAAAAUUCCUUGGUGCAAUUUGAUGGCUGAUUUAAUUUUGUCUUUCUUUGUUUGCCGCAGGCUAAUUCCAUUAUGAAUUCUUUAUACAGCCUUUUCCCUCAAUGAUUAGCAGCUUCUACUCAAGUUCUGAUUACUAUUGUACACUUAGCACUACAUAAAGCUGGGGAUUAAUAUUCCCCUGAAGAAUUGUUGCUAUGGAUCUGCUCUAUUCCUUCUAAGAGAUGUUUCUGCAGCUUCAAUUGUCCAUAAAUUAUGAUCUCUAGUGAAUUAUCAGUGGGAGUGAACUAAGCUUAACAAGCUGAAGAGAGCACUCUAGUUC
Non-coding RNA from Taeniopygia guttata (zebra finch), 2556 nucleotides. The record is from RefSeq and is a predicted model, not a curated record. Lineage: Eukaryota; Metazoa; Chordata; Aves; Passeriformes; Estrildidae.